Molecule: ribosomal RNA, 426 nt
Filed under: uncultured Comamonas sp.
Lineage: Bacteria; Pseudomonadati; Pseudomonadota; Betaproteobacteria; Burkholderiales; Comamonadaceae
Description: bacterial SSU rRNA
Rfam family: Bacterial small subunit ribosomal RNA
Source: RNAcentral
GGGGAAUUUUGGACAAUGGGCGCAAGCCUGAUCCAGCAAUGCCGCGUGCAGGAUGAAGGCCUUCGGGUUGUAAACUGCUUUUGUGCGGAACGAAAAGCCUCUCUCUACUACACGGGGGUGAUGACGGUACCGGAAGAAUAAGCCGCGGCUAACUACUGUCCAGCAGCCGCGGUAAUACGUAGGGUGCAAGCGUUAAUCGGAAUUACUGGGCGUAAAGCGUGCGCAGGCGGUUUUGUAAGACAGUGGUGAAAUCCCCGGGCUCAACCUGGGAACUGCCAUUGUGACUGCAAGGCUGGAGUGCGGCAGAGGGGGAUGGAAUUCCGCGUGUAGCAGUGAAAUGCGUAGAUAUGCGGAGGAACACCGAUGGCGAAGGCAAUCCCCUGGGCCUGCACUGACGCUCAUGCACGAAAGCGUGGGGAGCAAACA